CCAAAUUCUCGCAGAUUUCCAUCCGUCAUCAACAUAAAUACUUCUUGCUUCACCUGCAUUCAAUCGAAAUCCUCCUCCUUCAGGAUUUCCCGGUCCUAGAAUUCCAGCCCAUGUUGUGAAUGGACACUUGUUGUAGAUUUUGAUCUCUCU
Caenorhabditis elegans is the source of this 150-nucleotide non-coding RNA. Lineage: Eukaryota; Metazoa; Nematoda; Chromadorea; Rhabditida; Rhabditidae. The record is from Ensembl.